RNAcentral lists this long non-coding RNA (1025 nucleotides) under Mytilus galloprovincialis (Mediterranean mussel). Lineage: Eukaryota; Metazoa; Mollusca; Bivalvia; Mytilida; Mytilidae. The record is from RNAcentral.
UUGGUAGCAUGUUAUUGUCAGUAACAGAAAUGUAAUGUAGUUUUUGUUCAUAAAGUAAUCGAUCAUGAUUGAUAACAUAAUUAAAUUUGAGUAAUUGAUUAUAACUUGAUUACUUUUGACAUUUGUCUUGCCCAUCUGUUAUCUUUAAUUUUGUUUUUAAUUGUGUAGCUCAAGAAUCGUGAAAGGAAGAUUCAUAUUUACACAACACAAAUAAUAACAAAUUCAAUUUUUUUUAUAUACUUUAUUCAGUUUGUAAUUAAUAAUCAUUCAAGGAAAUUACUUUAUAACUAUUUGAUACAUAACAAAGGAACUGUUUGAUUUCUGACAUAACAGUUGAAUGAAAUACAUUUAUAAAGUCCUUUUUCACUGUGGAAUGUCUACAAUAGAGUAUAUGAUGACAUCCGAUUAUAAAACCUAAGAAAAACACCCUUAAAAACUGAACUUACAAGGUUGCAAAGAAUACCUUUAAAAAGCAAUUAACUACUAAAUGUCUUCAUUUAUAUGUUUAAAUAUCAAGAAGUGGAGAGUAACAAAAUAUUGGUUUAUAUACAGACUAACAAGAUUGGAACACUCCAUUCUGCUAGUUCAAAAUUCAUAAAGUUUUUUUGUCAUUACAGAGGUAGGCUACAACACCAGAUUAAAUUGCUGAUGUAACUCUUUGCAGAUUGAAGGGGGGGGUCUGAUAAAUUUAUCGGUCGUAUAAAAAAUACAUAUAUGUUAAUAGGUUGAAAUUGUGUUACUUUAUUAGUUAUAUCAUAUAUUGUCAUAAUUGUGUAUAGCAAUCUUCUACAUGGGUAAAAUGUAACAAUGUUGAGUGUUUUUUGAGUUUGGAGACAGAUAUUGCAACAUCUGUAACAGCCUCUUAUAAUAUAUAUAAUAUUAUCAUCUUUAUACAGUUCAUGAUAAAUGAACAAAUAAGUUUUAUAGUGUGCACGACACAGAAAUCUGUAACCUUAGAUAAGGUAAGAUAGAUUUAAAUAAAUUAAGUAACCCAAAACAUCAAAAUUAUUUAGAAAAAUAAAUGU